Molecule: non-coding RNA, 522 nt
Organism: Paramuricea clavata
Lineage: Eukaryota; Metazoa; Cnidaria; Anthozoa; Malacalcyonacea; Plexauridae
Source: the annotation of a GenBank genome assembly
GGGUGGGGAUGGGAGGGGGGGUGCGUGAGACAAAAAAGGAAAAUAAAAAAAUUUGUUUCAGCUAAAAACCCUCUACUCCACCCCCAUCACUUUUUAAUGGCGCGCCCUAUAUUUUGUCACGUAUACGUCGACAGGAAGUAAUUUCGUAUUCGGGCCUUAAGCUUCCAAUACUGAAGAGCAUACUACACUACAAGUAUUAAUUGUAAAAAUUAAAGUUAAAAGUUUAUUUGAGCAUAGUCCUAGCUAUAAUUUAACCAGAUAUGGAUGGUUGGAACAACCAGAUGAUGCUAGGUGGACUAUUAACCAAGAGUUCCUGGUUAAUAAUCAAUCCACCCAACAUAAUCUGGUUGUGUUUUCGCUCGCUACUCUGGUUUAUAUAAAUGAAUACAAAGCCCGGCCCAGUCGAAUUGUAAUCAAGACCCAACGUUUCGACACUCCAGUCUAGUGUCUUCAUCAGGGGUGAUCUAAAGUUGCAAUGUGGCUUCUUAAAAACUCUAUUUGACUUCAGGUCAUAUUUUCGCA